CCUUUAAGGGAGCUGAAGGAAUCUCGAAGAAUACGAGUUUGAUAGGCUGGCGGUCUAAGUGUGGAAACAUAUUGAGCCGACCAGUACUAAUUUUCCGUGAGGCUUGACCAU
This 111-nucleotide ribosomal RNA is filed under the name Oceanispirochaeta sp. M1. RNAcentral describes it as "Bacterial large subunit ribosomal RNA". It matches the Rfam family "Bacterial large subunit ribosomal RNA", at positions 2815 to 2925 of the family's 2925-position model. RNAcentral also lists the same sequence under 1 other name. The record is from Rfam by way of RNAcentral. Lineage: Bacteria; Pseudomonadati; Spirochaetota; Spirochaetia; Spirochaetales; Spirochaetaceae.